Molecule: long non-coding RNA, 118 nt
Organism: Melanotaenia boesemani (Boeseman's rainbowfish)
Lineage: Eukaryota; Metazoa; Chordata; Actinopteri; Atheriniformes; Melanotaeniidae
Exons: 3
Source: RefSeq, a predicted model, not a curated record
UUGACUCUGGGAACAGGAACUAGACCUGACCCUGAUGAUCUGAGGGAUCUGGUUCUUAACCAACCAGCAGAUCCUGAUUGUAUGUUGGCCCUAAACUAUUCAGGUCUUUGUAAAAUAA